RNAcentral lists this ribosomal RNA (1400 nucleotides) under Streptomyces leeuwenhoekii. Its description in RNAcentral is "bacterial LSU rRNA". It matches the Rfam family "Bacterial large subunit ribosomal RNA", at positions 1553 to 2925 of the family's 2925-position model. Lineage: Bacteria; Bacillati; Actinomycetota; Actinomycetes; Kitasatosporales; Streptomycetaceae. The record is from RNAcentral.
AGUCUGAGACCUGAUGCCGAGCCGAUUGUGGUGAAGUGGAUGAUCCUAUGCUGUCGAGAAAAGCCUCUAGCGAGUUUCAUGGCGGCCCGUACCCUAAACCGACUCAGGUGGUCAGGUAGAGAAUACCGAGGCGUUCGGGUGAACUAUGGUUAAGGAACUCGGCAAAAUGCCCCCGUAACUUCGGGAGAAGGGGGGCCAUUCCUGGUGACGGCACUUGCUGUCUGAGCUGGGGGUGGCCGCAGAGACCAGCGAGAAGCGACUGUUUACUAAAAACACAGGUCCGUGCGAAGCCGUAAGGCGAUGUAUACGGACUGACGCCUGCCCGGUGCUGGAACGUUAAGGGGACCGGUUAGCUUGGAUUCGUCCAGGCGAAGCUGAGAACUUAAGCGCCAGUAAACGGCGGUGGUAACUAUAACCAUCCUAAGGUAGCGAAAUUCCUUGUCGGGUAAGUUCCGACCUGCACGAAUGGCGUAACGACUUCUCGACUGUCUCAACCAUAGGCCCGGUGAAAUUGCACUACGAGUAAAGAUGCUCGUUUCGCGCAGCAGGACGGAAAGACCCCGGGACCUUUACUACAGUUUGAUAUUGGUGUUCGGUUCGGCUUGUGUAGGAUAGCUGGGAGACUGUGAAGCCUGGACGCCAGUUCGGGUGGAGUCGUCGUUGAAAUACCAGUCUGGUCGUGCUGGAUGUCUAACCUGGGUCCGUGAUCCGGAUCAGGGACAGUGUCUGAUGGGUAGUUUAACUGGGGCGGUUGCCUCCUAAAGGGUAACGGAGGCGCCCAAAGGUUCCCUCAGCCUGGUUGGCAAUCAGGUGUUGAGUGUAAGUGCACAAGGGAGCUUGACUGUGAGACCGACGGGUCGAGCAGGGACGAAAGUCGGGACUAGUGAUCCGGCGGUGGCUUGUGGAAGCGCCGUCGCUCAACGGAUAAAAGGUACCCCGGGGAUAACAGGCUGAUCUUCCCCAAGAGUCCAUAUCGACGGGAUGGUUUGGCACCUCGAUGUCGGCUCGUCGCAUCCUGGGGCUGGAGUCGGUCCCAAGGGUUGGGCUGUUCGCCCAUUAAAGCGGUACGCGAGCUGGGUUUAGAACGUCGUGAGACAGUUCGGUCCCUAUCCGCUGUGCGCGUAGGAGUCUUGAGAAGGGCUGUCCCUAGUACGAGAGGACCGGGACGGACGAACCUCUGGUGUGCCAGUUGUUCUGCCAAGGGCAUGGCUGGUUGGCUACGUUCGGGAGGGAUAACCGCUGAAAGCAUCUAAGCGGGAAGCCUGCUUCGAGAUGAGGACUCCCACCCACUUGAUGGGGUAAGGCUCCCAGUAGACGACUGGGUUGAUAGGCCGGAUAUGGAAGCCAGGUGACUGGUGGAGUUGACCGGUACUAAUAGGCCGAGGGCUUGUCCUCAGUUG